GUCUACAGCCAGACCACCCUGAACAUGCCUGAUCCCAAUUGUUCUUGGAAACUAAGCAGGGUUGGGCCUAGUCAGAACUUGGAUGAGAGACCACCUGGGAAUGCUGGAUGCCAUGGACU
This is a ribosomal RNA of Aotus nancymaae (Ma's night monkey), 119 nucleotides long. NCBI's taxonomy places the organism in Eukaryota, Metazoa, Chordata, Mammalia, Primates, Aotidae. The record is from Ensembl.